AUCGCGAGUGAUGUAUUUGCAAUGAAAGUGGACAUUUCUAAAGUUGCUUUUCCGCACAGAGGACAAUAAGCAAGCAUAACUCAACGUUGAUGUGAACUGUUGAGAAUUCUGGCUCUGUCUCUACACGCUGUGUGAUUGCGCUGUCGACUCGACCACUGCUGCCACCAUGCGGCUCUCAAGUUGUGAGGUUGCGAGCUUCGAAUGAGAUGGAAUGUUGCCGUCAUGGAUAGUGGGUAAGUAG
Molecule: long non-coding RNA, 241 nt
Organism: Cryptotermes secundus
Lineage: Eukaryota; Metazoa; Arthropoda; Insecta; Blattodea; Kalotermitidae
Exons: 3
Source: RefSeq, a predicted model, not a curated record